Molecule: ribosomal RNA, 368 nt
Filed under: Acantheis sp.
Lineage: Eukaryota; Metazoa; Arthropoda; Arachnida; Araneae; Ctenidae
Description: partial large subunit ribosomal RNA
Source: RNAcentral
UUUAUAUUAUUAAUCUAUAAUCCAAUCUGCUCAAUGAAUAUUAAAUAGCCGCAAUAGUGCUAAGGUAGCAUAAUAAUUUGUCUUCUAAUUAAAGACUAGAAUAAAAGAUUCAACAUUUCAAUUAAUUUAUUAAAACUAAAGUUUUUAAAUUAUUUUAAUUUUAAUAAAAAAAUUAUUAAAAAAAAAGACGAUAAGACCCUAUUGAACUUAACUUCAGUUAAACUGGGGCAGUGAAUCAAUUAUUAUUUUUAAUAUAAACAAUAUCAAUAUGACCUAAUUUAAUUAAUUAAUAAAUCAAGUUACCAUAGGGAUAACAGCGUAAUAAAAUUUUAAAGCUCUUAUUAAAAAUAAUGAUUACGACCUCGAUG